GAUUUKWGAGUUUKGAUCCYKGGSCUCAGGRMGRACSGCUGGGCGGGGKKCCUUAAUWCAUGCAAAGUCGAAGSGAAKGACGGAGAAGCUKGCUUYUCUGAUUUAGCGGCGGGACGGGGKGAGUAACACGKGGGCAACCUGCCCUACAGAUSGGGAUAACUCAGGGGAAACCKGGGCUAAAUACCGGAUAAUCCUUCGAAUCACAUGUUUUGAAGUUGAAAGGCGCUUCGGCGUCACUGUAGRGAKGGGCCCGCGGUGCAUUAGCUAGUUGGUGGGGUAACGGCCUACCAAGGCAACGAUGCAUAGCCGACCUGAGAGGGUGAUCGGCCACAUUGGGACUGAGACACGGGCCCAAACUCCUWCGGGAGGCAGCAGUAGGGAAUCUUCCACAAUGGACGAAAGUCUGAUGGAGCAACGCCGCGUGAGUGAUGAAGGUUUUCGGAUCGUAAAACUCUGUUGUAAGGGAAGAACAAGUACGUUAGGAAAUGAACGUACCUUGACGGUACCUUAUUAGAAAGCCACGGCUAACUACGUGCCAGCAGCCGCGGUAAUACGUAGGUGGCAAGCGUUGUCCGGAUUUAUUGGGCGUAAAGCGCGCGCAGGUGGUUUCUUAAGUCUGAUGUGAAAGCCCACGGCUCAACCGKGGAGGGUCAUUGGAAACUGGGGAACUUGAGUGCAGAAGAGGAUAGUGGAAUUCCAAGKGUAGCGGUGAAAUGCGUAGAGAUUUGGAGGAACACCAGUGGCGAAGGCGACUGUCUGGUCUGUAACUGACACUGAGGCGCGAAAGCGUGGGGAGCAAACAGGAUUAGAUACCCUGGUAGUCCACGCCGUAAMCKWUKKGUAMUAAGUGUUAGGGGGUUUCCGCCCCUUAGUGCUGCAGCUAACGCAUUAARGCAAYYCCCSC
RNAcentral lists this ribosomal RNA (904 nucleotides) under Kurthia gibsonii. Its description in RNAcentral is "partial 16S ribosomal RNA". It matches the Rfam family "Bacterial small subunit ribosomal RNA", at positions 9 to 873 of the family's 1533-position model. Lineage: Bacteria; Bacillati; Bacillota; Bacilli; Caryophanales; Caryophanaceae. The record is from RNAcentral.